This 482-nucleotide ribosomal RNA is filed under the name uncultured bacterium. RNAcentral's name for it is "partial 16S ribosomal RNA". It matches the Rfam family "Bacterial small subunit ribosomal RNA", at positions 28 to 507 of the family's 1533-position model. The record is from RNAcentral.
GACGAACGCUGGCGGCGUGCUUAACACAUGCGAGUCGAACGCUGAAGCUCAGCUUUUGUUGGGUGGAUGAGUGGCGAACGGGUGAGUAACACGUGAGUAACCUGCCUCCUUCUUUGGGAUAACGCCCGGAAACGGGUGCUAAUACUGGAUAUUCACUGGUCUUCGCAUGGGGGUUGGUGGAAAGGGUUUUUCUGGUGGGGGAUGGGCUCGCGGCCUAUCAGCUUGUUGGUGGGGUGAUGGCCGACCAAGGCUUUGACGGGUAGCCGGCCGGAGGGGGUGCCGGUCCGCUUGGGGGUGGCGUUGCGCCCCGGAUUCUACGGGAGGCAGCAGUGGGGAAUAUUGCACAAUGGGCGCAAGCCUGAUGCAGCGACGCCGCGUGAGGGAUGGAGGCCUUCGGGUUGUGAACCUCUUUCGCUCAUGGUCAAGCCGCAACAAUGGUUGUGGUGAGGGUAGUGGGUAAAGAAGCGCCGGCUAACUACGUG